GGGCGUGUGGCUCAGUUGGUAGAGCGCCCGCUUAGCAUGAUUUAUCAAUCACAGCGAUUGCGGAAGGUCCCCGGUUCGAUUCCGGGCUCGUCCA
Molecule: non-coding RNA, 94 nt
Organism: Cladorrhinum sp. PSN332
Lineage: Eukaryota; Fungi; Ascomycota; Sordariomycetes; Sordariales; Podosporaceae
Source: the annotation of a GenBank genome assembly